GGAUUUUGAAGAGCUUAUCAGAGAGCACUUCAGGAUGCGUGGUUAUUACAUCCUCAAGGCCUGUGACGCUUACAUGAAAGGAUUCCUUAUUGGCUCACUCAUAAAAGAUGCUUCCGUAAGCAAUAACAGCAGCGCUAAUUCAAAUUCAGUUGGUUUCAAGCUGAUGCUGGCUAAAAUUGUACCAAAACUUUUCUUGGCUCUGAAAGAAAUAGGAGUCGAGUGUGAAGAGUACCAACAUCUCCACCAAUUGUAGCAGAGAUUUUGAAGCAUUUGGUGUAUAUCAUUGUUCAAUCCAGCCAAGGUCAGCCUUUUAAACAUUUCCGAAUGUCAAAAGG
RNAcentral lists this unclassified non-coding RNA (335 nucleotides) under Hevea brasiliensis (rubber tree). The record is from RNAcentral. Lineage: Eukaryota; Viridiplantae; Streptophyta; Magnoliopsida; Malpighiales; Euphorbiaceae.